This 175-nucleotide ribosomal RNA is filed under the name uncultured Thiobacillus sp. Its description in RNAcentral is "partial 16S ribosomal RNA". It matches the Rfam family "Bacterial small subunit ribosomal RNA", at positions 1209 to 1382 of the family's 1533-position model. Lineage: Bacteria; Pseudomonadati; Pseudomonadota; Betaproteobacteria; Nitrosomonadales; Thiobacillaceae. The record is from RNAcentral.
UAGGGCGUUCACACGUCAUACAAUGGUCGGUACAGAGGGUUGCCAAGCCGCGAGGCGGAGCCAAUCCCACAAAGCCGAUCGUAGUCCGGAUUGUUCUCUGCAACUCGAGAGCAUGAAGUCGGAAUCGCUAGUAAUCGCAGGUCAGCAUACUGCGGUGAAUACGUUCCCGGGUCUU